UAAAUGGUAGGUAGACGUCUCCCACUGAGGAAGGGAUCUAGUUUUGUACUAAAUGCUAGGUAGACGUCUCCCAUUGAGGAAGGGAUCUAGUUUUGUACUAAAUGGUAGGUAGACGUCUCCCACUGAGGAAGGGAUCUAGUUUUGUACUAAAUGGUAGGUAGACGUAUUCCAUUGAGGAAGGGAUCUAGUUUUGUACUAAAUGGUAGGUAGACGUCUCCCACUGAGGAAGGGAUCUAGUUUUGUACUAAAUGGUAGGUAGACGUAUUCCAUUGAGGAAGGGAUCUAGUUUUGUACUAAAUGGUAGGUAGACGUAUUCCAUUGAGGAAGGGAUCUAGUUUUGUACUAAAUGGUAGGUAGACGUCUCCCAUUGAGGAAGGGAUCUAGUUUUGUACUAAAUGGUAGGUAGACGUCUCCCACUGAGGAAGGGAUCUAGUUUUGUACUAAAUGGUAGGUAGACGUCUCCCACUGAGGAAGGGAUCUAGUUUUGUACUAAAUGGUAGGUAGACGUAUUCCACUGAGGAAGGGAUCUAGUUUUGUACUAAAUGGUAGGUAGACGUCUCCCAUUGAGGAAGGGAUCUAGUUUUGUACUAAAUGGUAGGUAGACGUCUCCCACUGAGGAAGGGAUCUAGUUUUGUACUAAAUGGUAGGUAGACGUCUCCCACUGAGGAAGGGAUCUAGUUUUGUACUAAAUGGUAGGUAGACGUCUCCCACUGAGGAAGGGAUCUAGUUUUGUACUAAAUGGUAGGUAGACGUAUUCCACUGAGGAAGGGAUCUAGUUUUGUACUAAAUGGUAGGUAGACGUCUCCCAUUGAGGAAGGGAUCUAGUUUUGUACUAAAUGGUAGGUAGACGUCUCCCACUGAGGAAGGGAUCUAGUUUUGUACUAAAUGGUAGGUAGACGUCUCCCACUGAGGAAGGGAUCUAGUUUUGUACUAAAUGGUAGGUAGACGUAUUCCAUUGAGGAAGGGAUCUAGUUUUGUACUAAAUGGUAGGUAGACGUCUCCCACUGAGGAAGGGAUCUAGUUUUGUACUAAAUGGUAGGUAGACGUCUCCCACUGAGGAAGGGAUCUAGUUUUGUACUAAAUGGUAGGUAGACGUCUCCCACUGAGGAAGGGAUCUAGUUUUGUACUAAAUGGUAGGUAGACGUCUCCCACUGAGGAAGGGAUCUAGUUUUGUACUAAAUGGUAGGUAGACGUCUCCCACUGAGGAAGGGAUCUAGUUUUGUACUAAAUGGUAGGUAGACGUAUUCCACUGAGGAAGGGAUCUAGUUUUGUACUAAAUGGUAGGUAGACGUCUCCCAUUGAGGAAGGGAUCUAGUUUUGUACUAAAUGGUAGGUAGACGUCUCCCACUGAGGAAGGGAUCUAGUUUUGUACUAAAUGCUAGGUAGACGUCUCCCACUGAGGAAGGGAUUUAGUUUUGUACUAAAUGGUAGGUAGACGUCUCCCACUGAGGAAGGGAUCUAGUUUUGUACUAAAUGGUAGGUAGACGUCUCCCACUGAGGAAGGGAUCUAGUUUUGUACUAAAUGGUAGGUAGACGUAUUCCAUUGAGGAAGGGAUCUAGUUUUGUACUAAAUGGUAGGUAGACGUAUUCCACUGAGGAAGGGAUCUAGUUUUGUACUAAAUGGUAGGUAGACGUAUUCCACUGAGGAAGGGAUCUAGUUUUGUACUAAAUGGUAGGUAGACGUCUCCCACUGAGGAAGGGAUCUAGUUUUGUACUAAAUGCUAGGUAGACGUCUCCCACUGAGGAAGGGAUCUAGUUUUGUACUAAAUGGUAGGUAGACGUCUCCCAUUGAGGAAGGGAUCUAGUUUUGUACUAAAUGCUAGG
Oncorhynchus keta (chum salmon) is the source of this 1824-nucleotide long non-coding RNA. RefSeq lists it as uncharacterized. The record is from RefSeq and is a predicted model, not a curated record. NCBI's taxonomy places the organism in Eukaryota, Metazoa, Chordata, Actinopteri, Salmoniformes, Salmonidae. The transcript is spliced from 7 exons.